GUUUUUAAAUUUUACUUUUUAUUACUUGUAAUGUACAUCAACAUUUUGACAAGACAAAAAAAAAACGUAUUGAAGAAUCCAUUAUUGUUGCACAAGUUAUCAUGAAGUGACACCAAGCACAGAAUAUGUACAUGUGUUAUUUAUACACAAGUUCUCUCUGAAGUAUGCUAUGUAACUCAACAUCUUUUAUACACAACUGUACAAUGUAAUGAUCUGGAUCUUUUUUUCCCCAUUAAUAGACACUAGAGCAGGAGUCCAUGGCUUCCAGGAGUGUAAAUUUACUGUUAAAUUGUGACCAAAGCAACAUAAACUUUUGAAUUAACUAUAAGUAGAUCUACAUUGAAACUUAUUUAUGUAACUGUAGUUGUACAAUUUGGAUAGGUCAGUAUGUAAUUAUCUUAGAAGGUAACGACCAUUUGAUAUAAAUUAGUUUAAUUUGAUUGCAGGAGACAAAUUUCAAGUAGACCUGUAAUCUUGUCCUGCAAGAAAACAUAAGGAGGGAAGUCUAGGUUUCUAAUAUUAAAAAAAAAAUCUACUUACAAACUCAAUAUGUACCAAUUGUAAUUUUAAACUG
Biomphalaria pfeifferi is the source of this 574-nucleotide non-coding RNA. NCBI's taxonomy places the organism in Eukaryota, Metazoa, Mollusca, Gastropoda, Planorbidae. The record is from the annotation of a GenBank genome assembly.